Molecule: transfer RNA, 66 nt
Filed under: Lebertia trifurcilla
Lineage: Eukaryota; Metazoa; Arthropoda; Arachnida; Trombidiformes; Lebertiidae
Description: tRNA-Ile
Source: RNAcentral
AACAUAAAAUAUAUAUCUUGAUACGAUAUAAAAGGUAUUAACCUUAUGUUUUUACUUUUUCCGAAA